Molecule: long non-coding RNA, 285 nt
Organism: Leopardus geoffroyi (Geoffroy's cat)
Lineage: Eukaryota; Metazoa; Chordata; Mammalia; Carnivora; Felidae
Exons: 2
Source: RefSeq, a predicted model, not a curated record
GGAGCCUGGGAGAGGUGGAACUCAGACCGCGGAGGAAGGAGUGCUGGAGCGUUGGUGGUGGUUUCCUCUAGCACCCCCUGUUGGCGGACUUUAACAAGGAGCCAGCUGGCAAAGAGAACUGAGCGGCAAGGAGGCCAGUCCCGGCAGCUACGGAAACGAGUACAGGUUUCUAGUUUGGGGCUCUUACACAUAAUGCUGUUACGAGCAUUCUUGUGUACUCGUAUUUUGGGUGUGUAUACCAAGGAGUGUACUUGCUGGAUUUAAUAGAUACAGAUAAUAACUGUU